UUUUAUUUGAGAGUUUGAUCCUGGCUCAGGAUGAACGCUGGCGGCGUGCCUAACACAUGCAAGUUGAGCGAUUUACUUCGGUAAAGAGCGGCGGACGGGUGAGUAACGCGUGGGUAACCUACCCUGUACACACGGAUAACAUACCGAAAGGUAUGCUAAUACGGGAUAAUAUAUUUGAGAGGCAUCUCUUGAAUAUCAAAGGUGAGCCAGUACAGGAUGGACCCGCGUCUGAUUAGCUAGUUGGUAAGGUAACGGCUUACCAAGGCGACGAUCAGUAGCCGACCUGAGAGGGUGAUCGGCCACAUUGGAACUGAGACACGGUCCAAACUCCUACGGGAGGCAGCAGUGGGGAAUAUUGCACAAUGGGCGAAAGCCUGAUGCAGCAACGCCGCGUGAGUGAUG
Molecule: ribosomal RNA, 402 nt
Filed under: Clostridioides difficile
Lineage: Bacteria; Bacillati; Bacillota; Clostridia; Peptostreptococcales; Peptostreptococcaceae
Description: bacterial SSU rRNA
Rfam family: Bacterial small subunit ribosomal RNA
Source: RNAcentral